GAUGAAGAACGUAGCGAAAUGCGAUAAGUAAUGUGAAUUGCAGAAUUCAGUGAAUCAUCGAAUCUUUGAACGCACAUUGCGCCCCCUGGUAUUCCGGGGGGCAUGCCUGUCCGAGCGUCAUUACAACCCUCAAGCUCAGCUUGGUAUUGGGCCCCGCCGACCCGGCGGGCCCUAAAGUCAGUGGCGGUGCCGUCCGGCUCCGAGCGUAGUAAUUCUUCUCGCUCUGGAGAUCCGGUCGUGUGCUCGCCAGCAACCCCCAAUUUUUUUCAGGUUGACCUCGGAUCAGGUAGGGAUACCCGCUGAACUUAAGCAUAUCAAUAAGCGGAGGA
This 329-nucleotide unclassified non-coding RNA is filed under the name soil metagenome. RNAcentral's name for it is "partial contains 5.8S ribosomal RNA, internal transcribed spacer 2, and large subunit ribosomal RNA". The stretch from base 1 to 120 matches the Rfam family "5.8S ribosomal RNA", at positions 35 to 154 of the family's 154-position model. The record is from RNAcentral.